ACGGGAGGCAGCAGUGGGGAAUAUUGCACAAUGGGGGAAACCCUGAUGCAGCAACGCCGCGUGAGUGAUGAAGUAUUUCGGUAUGUAAAGCUCUAUCAGCAGGGAAGAUAAUGACGGUACCUGACUAAGAAGCACCGGCUAAAUACGUGCCAGCAGCCGCGGUAAUACGUAUGGUGCAAGCGUUAUCCGGAUUUACUGGGUGUAAAGGGUGCGUAGGCGGCAUGGCAAGUCAGAUGUGAAAGACCGGGGCUCAACUCCGGGGCUGCAUUUGAAACUGCCAGGCUGGAGUACAGGAGAGGCAGGCGGAAUUCCUAGUGUAGCGGUGAAAUGCGUAGAUAUUAGGAAGAACACCAGUGGCGAAGGCGGUUAGCUGGACAAUAACUGACGCUGAGGCGCGAAAGCGUGGGUAGCAAACAGGAUUAGAUACCCUGGUA
This 434-nucleotide ribosomal RNA is filed under the name uncultured Lachnospiraceae bacterium. RNAcentral describes it as "bacterial SSU rRNA". It matches the Rfam family "Bacterial small subunit ribosomal RNA", at positions 341 to 792 of the family's 1533-position model. Lineage: Bacteria; Bacillati; Bacillota; Clostridia; Lachnospirales; Lachnospiraceae. The record is from RNAcentral.